Molecule: RNA transcript, 1689 nt
Organism: Olea europaea var. sylvestris
Lineage: Eukaryota; Viridiplantae; Streptophyta; Magnoliopsida; Lamiales; Oleaceae
Gene name: caltractin-like
Exons: 10
Source: RefSeq, a predicted model, not a curated record
UUAUUAUUGAACAAUUCUUACACGUGACCAGGACCUUUUCCGAGCCCCCAAUCACUCACGACGAAGCUUCAUGUUGAAACAAUCAUAAUUAUUACAGGAAAAGGAAAUAUAAAAGAAAACGAAUACGCGUCGACUCUCCUAUUAAUAAUAGAGUAUUAGAAUACAACAAUCUCAUUCUCCCUCAGGCGAAGCCGCUGAGUUUUUCUUAUUGCCGAUCGCCAUGGCACCGGUUUACACUGCAGUACUCAGGAAAGAUAAACCCAGAGGACGUCACGGGUUAACUACACAGAAUAAGCAGAAGAUAAAAAAAGCAUUUGAGCGGGCUACUGAUGGCUCUGGAACCAUUGAUGCAAAAGAGUUGAAUGUUGCCAUGAGGGAUCUAGGUUUUGAAAUGACAGAAGAGGAAAUUAAUAGAAUGAUAGCUGAACUAGACAAGGACAGCAGUGGUGCAAUUGACUUAGAUAAAUUGACAGCCAAAUUUGGGGAAUGGGAAACUGGAGUUGAGCUAAUGAAAGCUUUUCACAUUAUUGACCAAGAUAAAAAUGGGAAAAUUUCUGCUGCAGACAUUCAGCGCAUUGCCAAGGAAUUGGGCGAACGUUUCAGCGAAAGAGAUAUUCAAGGCAUGAUUGACGAAGCAGAUCAAGAUCUUGUCUUUCAUAGGGAAAUAGAAGAUCCCAAAUAUUGACUAGUUUGGUUCGAUUCAACCAAGAAGAACCACCAGACGAUGGUGAAGUUGAUGACAAGGAGUUCUUGAGAAUGAUGAGGAGAACUUCAUAUGGGUAAUAGGGAUAAUCACACCUGUGUCCAUGUUCGAGAAUGUUUUAUUUGUCUUCAUUCUAUGUUAUUGUAUAACCUACCGGUUAUUGUAUAAUAUGUUCUUGAAUAAUGAACAAUGUAGGAAGUUGAUUUGAUUUGAUUGAAUUAUUGUUUAAAGAACAUGGUUACAUGAAAAUAUCCAGGCUUGUUGCUGUUCAAAAAUGCCGUGCAAUUGUCCCGUUGAGUUUGCCAUUACAGAUUUCUGCUACCCACAUAGUAGUGUGAUAUGAAAAUCUUGCGGGAUCCAGUCUUUGUUGAUUAUCAAUGCUAUUUAUGUUCCCCUUGAGCCUUAUUGCUUAUAUACUGCUAUUUGAAUCAGUUGAUCUAAGGACAGUUGUGAAAUCGUAUAGACCCUUUCUAAAUAAGAAUACUCAUUUUCAACUACUCUACCGUCUUGUGUGCCUUAUGGACCAAUUUUGGGUCUAAAAUUGCCUUCUCUAGUUGCUGUUAAAUUCAUCCCAGCUAUACGUUGUACUGCCAUGGUGAUAUGUACUUCCACCUCUUCGUCCAGCCUGCCUUGUGCUGGCGCCCUCUCUAGCUAUAGUGUUGUGCAUUGAGCAAUCUUGGUGAAGACCUCGGAUCUCUCUACGCAGAUUGCAUUUAGUGAACCUCAGCAUGGCUUGGAUCUUAUCAAUUACCUCUGUUGCCUUAGUUCACGACGAGUUCUUGCUAAGUCGUCCUUGCACGAUCACUGGUGAUUUAUGAAUGCUUGGUAUACCGUAUAUAGUAUGCAGAAUAUCAACCUUUCAGAGCACCUUCCGUUUCCCUAAGCGGAUAACUCGGAAGAUUCUUUAAGAGUGAAUUUCGUCAACUGAGUGGUUUUAGAUUGUACCAUCAUCAUAUAAUGGAUAAGGUUUAAAUUUUCAUCUUUCA